Molecule: long non-coding RNA, 596 nt
Filed under: Mytilus galloprovincialis (Mediterranean mussel)
Lineage: Eukaryota; Metazoa; Mollusca; Bivalvia; Mytilida; Mytilidae
Source: RNAcentral
AGCUUCUGUCCAUGUUUGGUAGAAAUCCAAUGUAAUUUAAGAAAGUUAUAUGAAUUUUAAACACAUCAUUGCCUCAGUAAAUUGAAACCUCAGUUUCUUUUUCAUAAUUUAUUAACCAACAUUUUUUUUUUACAAAACCUGUCAGUAUUUCGCUGAAGAUACCAUUAGGCUCUGAUAGUCCACCAACUGAGCUGUAACCAAUGAAAGAAAAAUACGUGACAAAAUGUGACCUCCAAGAUUAGCACUUCUUCAGUUCUGGCCUAUCCUUAUACAUUUUAUAUACCAAGUUAGGACCUUAUUCUAAUAAUAUAAUACGUCCACACGUCAACACAACUAGAAGUGAUAUUUCCAGUCCACAUACAUAUUAAUAUUAAAAUACGACCAUGCGUCGACAAACAUGUUAAAUUGGUAUGUCCUCUCAUUAUGCAUGUUAUAUUACGCGUUAGGGCCUUGUCCAAAUUAUAAUGAAGUCAUGUUCAUUUGUUUUUAAAGAAAUCAAUUACAAAUACCUUGACGUUUGUUCAUUAGUUAACUACUACAAUAUCAAUUUGCCUUUAGCUACAUUUCUGAUCUGAUACACCUUGUUGAUAUAACUU